This 2017-nucleotide long non-coding RNA is filed under the name Sarcophilus harrisii (Tasmanian devil). Its description in RNAcentral is "lncRNA (ENSSHAG00000029478.1)". The record is from RNAcentral. Lineage: Eukaryota; Metazoa; Chordata; Mammalia; Dasyuromorphia; Dasyuridae.
GAGAGGGUUGGUUUCUCUAGGAAGUGAGUGUAACAUACCAACAUUCCAGGAAGGAACUUUACAGCAUUUACCCAGGUGAGUGCACAGACUCGAGGGAAACAAUGGAGAUACUGAAAACUUCAAAAAAAUUUAACCCAGGGAAAAAAGCGGAUCAUUCCAUGGGGAAGUAACAAUACAGGUAUUAUAUUUUAUUUCACAUUUUAUUAGUAGACAGAUGUGCAGAAAAGACAAAAAUAAACUACUAAUGGGGAGGACAACACAAAAUGCAUCAGUUAAUCCUUUCUGGUAAAUUAUAAUACUGAAGAAAAAAGGAAAACAUCUAGAAUUUUAGCUUUGAAAAUUACUAAGUCUAAUGCAUCCUGCUGGUUUCAGAACAGUUGAAAGUUGCAUCUGAAUCUUGUUUUAAUAAUGUAAACCUUGUUCAUCAGGAUGGGAAAAGGAUGGGAUAAGAAAAGCAAGAAUGUUAUAGUUAAGGUAAACUUUUUCCCCUCAAUUUCUAAGAUAUUUUUAUAUAAGUCUUACUUUGCUUGUGUGUCUCCAAAACAACAGAAACCAGCAAGUAAACAAAUAAAUCACACUUGGGUGUAACAGAGAGGAAGUGAUGGGGGGGAGGGGAGGGAAAGGUGUUGAGGGGAAGGAGAGAAUGGAAAUGUUUUUAAAAUAAAGCAGUGUUUAAAAUAAACAGGGGGACCAACAAAAGAAUCAUGAUAAUGCAUCUUCUACCACCAAGCCUGAAUAUACAAGUCACUGGAGAUCAUCUAUAAUAAGGUCUCUCAUAGUACAAAGGGAAGCAGAUCCUGAAAGAUGCAGCAUCCUUAUUUCAAACCAAGUCAUUGGCAUAGUUACUCAUCACAAUGAUCUGGCCUGAACCUCUGGCCCUUGAAUCACCUCCCCUUAACCUCCACAAAAGGGAAAUAGGAAACAUGAACCACCCUUGGCCAUUUCCCCACAGAUAGCAUAGGCUGCCACCAACGCUGUUUACAUGAGACAUGUUCUCAGAAGUCCCUGGGAUGUACACACCUGGCUUCACAGAGUCGGACUGUCACGAAUGCCUACAAUUUUUUUAAAAGCUAUUACACCCCAGAUGUGUUUCUUGAACACAAUCUUAUUAGAUAAUAGCUACACACUCAGUAAGUUUUAACACACCAAAAGGCUAAGCCAGAAGCUCCACCUAAUGUUCUCUACCAUCCGUCCAUCUUUGGCUCCCUGAGUCAACAUGCGAUAGAGGCUGAUAGAAAUUAUGAAGAUGGAUACAGCCUCAGCCAGGGCUCAGCAGCAACUCUGAAAUAAAAAGGAGCCAAGACUGGCUUGUAGGAGAUUUCCCAGCAGCAAGGGAUGCACAAUCCCUAGGGGGAUCUGUGAGAAAGAACAAAAAUGAGCAACACUUGACUCUCAGCUGCUGGGCACUGGAGGAUGUCACUGGGACAGGUUAGGAUAACUUAAGGGCCCCUUAAAAUCUUCAAGUCAUUAACAAGGGAGUUAAAAAGCCCAGGCAUUAGAAGGAUGUUUAAUGAGGGGUGACUAGCAGCAAGUGCUGGCACAGGGCCCAGCAAAUUCUCCUCAAUUUCUAUUUAAAAAGAACUUGUUCCCAACCCACUCCCCCAGGAGAUAGAACCAGCACCUCACUGGUUUCAGGAUAGCCCAGGGCAAGGCAAAAAAGCAAGAAAUUCAAGAGCUAAUGAAAACCCUGAGAUCAGAAAGGAAGGGAAGUGAAGUAAGAGUGCAUUAUAACCUCUUAAUCCCUAGCCACUACAGGAUCCCUGGGAUGCAGCUAGGAUUUUCUUACUGAAGAACAUUACAAAAGGGUAGUGCCAAGUAAAAGAACUAGUGAAGCGCAUGCAUUCAAGAUAGGACUCUGGUCAGUGCUCCCUUUAUUCCCUUCACUUGGUGUGUGAAACCUUGAACGAAUCUAGGGGGUCUUUCUUCACUGCUCUAACUUCCCCUGCCACAGAAGGAAAAUAUGCACCUUUACCCUGACAUAAACUCCCCAAUUCUGAAAUCCCUAAUUGUCAAAGGU